This 400-nucleotide ribosomal RNA is filed under the name uncultured bacterium. Its description in RNAcentral is "bacterial SSU rRNA". It matches the Rfam family "Bacterial small subunit ribosomal RNA", at positions 356 to 773 of the family's 1533-position model. The record is from RNAcentral.
GGGGAAUAUUGGACAAUGGGCGAAAGCCUGAUCCAGCCAUGCCGCGUGAGUGAUGAAGGCCCUAGGGUUGUAAAGCUCUUUCAGUGGGGAAGAUAAUGACGGUACCCACAGAAGAAGCCCCGGCUAACUUCGUGCCAGCAGCCGCGGUAAUACGAAGGGGGCUAGCGUUGUUCGGAAUUACUGGGCGUAAAGCGCGCGUAGGCGGACUUUUAAGUCAGGGGUGAAAUCCCGAGGCUCAACCUCGGAACAGCCUUUGAUACUGGAGGUCUCGAGUCCGAGAGAGGUGAGUGGAAUUCCGAGUGUAGAGGUGAAAUUCGUAGAUAUUCGGAGGAACACCAGUGGCGAAGGCGGCUCACUGGCUCGGUACUGACGCUGAGGUGCGAAAGCGUGGGGAGCAAAC